RNAcentral lists this ribosomal RNA (358 nucleotides) under uncultured bacterium. Its description in RNAcentral is "bacterial SSU rRNA". It matches the Rfam family "Bacterial small subunit ribosomal RNA", at positions 43 to 394 of the family's 1533-position model. The record is from RNAcentral.
ACAGGCUUAACACAUGCAAGUCGAGGGGCAGCAUUGGAGUAGCAAUACUUCAGAUGGCGACCGGCGCACGGGUGAGUAACACGUAUCCAACCUGCCGCUUACUCGGGGAUAGCCUUUCGAAAGAAAGAUUAAUACCCGAUGGUAUAAAGAGUUCGCAUGUUCUCUUUAUUAAAGAAUUUCGGUAAGCGAUGGGGAUGCGUUCCAUUAGAUAGUUGGCGGGGUAACGGCCCACCAAGUCUACGAUGGAUAGGGGUUCUGAGAGGAAGGUCCCCCACAUUGGAACUGAGACACGGUCCAAACUCCUACGGGAGGCAGCAGUGAGGAAUAUUGGUCAAUGGACGAGAGUCUGAACCAGCCA